UACAGAGGGUGCUAGCGUUGUUCGGAAUCAUUGGGCGUAAAGGGCGUGUAGGCGGUUUGUUAAGUCAUGUGUGAAAUCCCUCGGCUCAACCGGGGAACGACGCAUGAAACUGGCAAGCUAGAGUACCAAAGAGGGGGGUGGAAUUCCCGGUGUAGCGGUGAAAUGCGCAGAUAUCAGGAGGAACACCAAUGGCGAAGGCAGCUCGCUGGGACGUGACUGACGCUGAGACGCGAAAGCGUGGGGAGCAAACAGG
RNAcentral lists this ribosomal RNA (253 nucleotides) under uncultured bacterium. RNAcentral describes it as "partial 16S ribosomal RNA". It matches the Rfam family "Bacterial small subunit ribosomal RNA", at positions 524 to 776 of the family's 1533-position model. The record is from RNAcentral.